CAGAGUGUGGGAAGUAUCUCCCCUGCGGCUUGCCUCACUUCACAAGGUCAGGUCCUGGGGAAAGCGGCUAUCCCAUGAGAAAACACAAGAAUAGAGGCAUCCAAAUACACCCUCACCUCUUGCUCAAUCAGAAAACUGCUGGGUAACAACUGGCACAAGCUCAAUUGGGUUUACAGGCUCCAACCAAGAUCAGGGCCCCAUUGGUCAAGGCAUUGUACACAC
Long non-coding RNA from Chelonia mydas (Green sea turtle), 222 nucleotides. RefSeq lists it as uncharacterized. The record is from RefSeq and is a predicted model, not a curated record. Lineage: Eukaryota; Metazoa; Chordata; Testudines; Cheloniidae. The transcript has 3 exons.